Molecule: ribosomal RNA, 370 nt
Filed under: uncultured organism
Description: bacterial SSU rRNA
Rfam family: Bacterial small subunit ribosomal RNA
Source: RNAcentral
CGAAGGGAGCUAGCGUUGUUCGGAAUUACUGGGCGUAAAGGGCGUGUAGGCGGUUCCAUAAGUCAGAUGUGAAAGCCCUAGGCUUAACCUAGGAGGUGCAUUUGAUACUGUGGAACUAGAGAUCGAGAGAGGAAAGUGGAAUUACGAGUGUAGAGGUGAAAUUCGUAGAUAUUCGUAAGAACACCAGUGGCGAAGGCGACUUUCUGGCUCGAUACUGACGCUAAGGCGCGAAAGCGUGGGGAGCAAACAGGAUUAGAUACCCUGGUAGUCCACGCUGUAAACGAUGAGUGCUAGAUGUUGGUGAAGGAAUUCAUCAGUGUCGCAGCUAACGCAUUAAGCACUCCGCCUGGGGAGUACGGUCGCAAGAUUA